RNAcentral lists this ribosomal RNA (460 nucleotides) under uncultured bacterium. Its description in RNAcentral is "partial 16S ribosomal RNA". It matches the Rfam family "Bacterial small subunit ribosomal RNA", at positions 338 to 795 of the family's 1533-position model. The record is from RNAcentral.
CCUACGGGGUGCAGCAGUGAGGAAUAUUGGUCAAUGGACGAGAGUCUGAACCAGCCAAGUAGCGUGAAGGAUGACUGCCCUAUGGGUUGUAAACCUCUUUUGUCAGGGAGCAAUUGGCGCUACGUGUAGCGUUAUCGAGAGUACCUGAAGAAAAAGCAUCGGCUAACUCCGUGCCAGCAGCCGCGGUAAUACGGAGGAUGCGAGCGUUAUCUGGAUUUAUUGGGUUUAAAGGGUGCGUAGGCGGAAUGCCAAGUCAGCGGUAAAAUCGCGGGGCUCAACCUCGCUCCGCCGUUGAAACUGGCGUUCUUGAGUGGGCGAGAAGUAUGCGGAAUGCGUGGUGUAGCGGUGAAAUGCAUAGAUAUCACGCAGAACCCCGAUUGCGAAGGCAGCAUGCCGGCUUCCGACUGACGCUGAAGCACGAAAGCGUGGGGAUCGAACAGGAUUAGAUACCCGUGUAGUC